GCCUGGGUGGCUCAGUCGGUUGAGCGUCCGACUUCGGCUCAGGUCAUGAUCUCACAGUCUGUGGGUUUGAGCCCCGCAUCAGGCU
Molecule: transfer RNA, 85 nt
Filed under: Felis catus (domestic cat)
Lineage: Eukaryota; Metazoa; Chordata; Mammalia; Carnivora; Felidae
Also listed under: 3 other names
Rfam family: tRNA
About the family: Transfer RNA (tRNA) molecules are approximately 80 nucleotides in length. Their secondary structure includes four short double-helical elements and three loops (D, anti-codon, and T loops). Further hydrogen bonds mediate the characteristic L-shaped molecular structure. tRNAs have two regions of fundamental functional importance: the anti-codon, which is responsible for specific mRNA codon recognition, and the 3' end, to which the tRNAs corresponding amino acid is attached (by aminoacyl-tRNA synthetases). tRNAs cope with the degeneracy of the genetic code in two manners: having more than one tRNA (with a specific anti-codon) for a particular amino acid; and 'wobble' base-pairing, i.e. permitting non-standard base-pairing at the 3rd anti-codon position.
Source: Rfam by way of RNAcentral